UGGAAGUAAAAAGUCGUAACAAGGUCUCCGUAGGUGAACCUGCGGAGGGAUCAUUACACAAAGAUAUGAAGGUAGGGUACUGGCAACAGUGCUCUGCUGAAAUAUUUUCACCCAUGUCUUUUGCGCACUUUUUGUUUCCUGGGCGAGUUUGCUCGCCACCAGGACCCCCAUAUGAACCUUUUUUGUUUUUGCACUCAGCGUCAGUACAAUAAUUUAAUCUAUUAAAACUUUCAACAACGGAUCUCUUGGUUCUGGCAUCGAUGAAGAACGCAGCGAAAUGCGAUACGUAGUGUGAAUUGCAGAAUUCAGUGAAUCAUCGAAUCUUUGAACGCACAUUGCGCCCUUUGGUAUUCCAAAGGGCAUGCCUGUUCGAGCGUCAUUUGUACCCUCAAGCUUUGCUUGGUGUUGGGCGUCUUAUUGUCUCUCCGUCUCGGGGAGACUCGCCUUAAAACAAUUGGCAGCCGGCCUACUGGUUUCGGAGCGCAGCACAAAUUUGCGCUUGCAAUCAGCCAAGGGCGGCAUCCAUGAAGCCUUUUUUCUCUCACAUUUUGACCUCGGAUCAGGUAGGGAUACCCGCUGAACUUAAGCAUAUCAAUAAG
Molecule: unclassified non-coding RNA, 599 nt
Filed under: Exserohilum turcicum
Lineage: Eukaryota; Fungi; Ascomycota; Dothideomycetes; Pleosporales; Pleosporaceae
Description: sequence contains 18S rRNA gene, ITS1, 5.8S rRNA gene and ITS2
Rfam family: 5.8S ribosomal RNA (bases 226-379)
Source: RNAcentral